This 497-nucleotide ribosomal RNA is filed under the name uncultured bacterium. Its description in RNAcentral is "partial 16S ribosomal RNA". It matches the Rfam family "Bacterial small subunit ribosomal RNA", at positions 28 to 507 of the family's 1533-position model. The record is from RNAcentral.
GAUGAACGCUGGCGGCGUGCCUAAUACAUGCAAGCCGAGCGAACAGACGAGGAGCUUGCUCCUCUGAUGUUAGCGGCGGACGGGUGAGUAACACGUGGAUAACCUACCUAUAAGACUGGGAUAACUUCGGGAAACCGGAGCUAAUACCGGAUAACAUGUUGAACCGCAUGGUUCAACAGUGAAAGACGGUCUUGCUGUCACUUAUAGAUGGAUCCGCGCCGCAUUAGCUAGUUGGUAAGGUAACGGCUUACCAAGGCAACGAUGCGUAGCCGACCUGAGAGGGUGAUCGGCCACACUGGAACUGAGACACGGUCCAGACUCCUACGGGAGGCAGCAGUAGGGAAUCUUCCGCAAUGGGCGAAAGCCUGACGGAGCAACGCCGCGUGAGUGAAGAAGGUCUUCGGAUCGUAAAACUCUGUUAUUAGGGAAGAACAAAUGUGUAAGUAACUAUGCACGUCUUGACGGUACCUAAUCAGAAAGCCACGGCUAACUACGUG